This 253-nucleotide ribosomal RNA is filed under the name uncultured bacterium. RNAcentral's name for it is "partial 16S ribosomal RNA". It matches the Rfam family "Bacterial small subunit ribosomal RNA", at positions 524 to 776 of the family's 1533-position model. The record is from RNAcentral.
UACAGAGGGUGCGAGCGUUAAUCGGAAUUACUGGGCGUAAAGCGUGCGUAGACGGUUAUUUAAGUCGGGUGUGAAAGCCCUGGGCUCAACCUGGGAAUUGCAUUCGAGACUGAAUAGCUAGGGUACGGUAGAGGGAAGCGGAAUUUCCGGUGUAGCGGUGAAAUGCGUAGAUAUCGGAAGGAACAUCAGUGGCGAAAGCGGCUUCCUGGACCAGUACCGACGUUCAGGCACGAAAGCGUGGGGAGCAAACAGG